Molecule: small nuclear RNA, 104 nt
Organism: Myotis daubentonii (Daubenton's bat)
Lineage: Eukaryota; Metazoa; Chordata; Mammalia; Chiroptera; Vespertilionidae
Source: RefSeq, a predicted model, not a curated record
GUGCUUGGUUCGGCAGCACAUAUACUAAAAUUGGAACAAUACAAAGAUUAGCAUGGCCCAUGCUCAAGGAUGACACAGAAAUUCAUGAAGCAUACCAUAUUUUU